RNA transcript from Melospiza melodia melodia, 2548 nucleotides. It is a transcript of the gene named MAF1 homolog, negative regulator of RNA polymerase III, with no coding region annotated. The transcript has 9 exons. The record is from RefSeq and is a predicted model, not a curated record. Lineage: Eukaryota; Metazoa; Chordata; Aves; Passeriformes; Passerellidae.
GGCGGUGCCGCCGCUGUUGCCGUCCGGUGCCGCAGGAGAAGGUCGCCCGCUCGCUCGCUCGCUCCGGGGGAUUCCCAGGAUCUCGCUCAGCCGCUCGCACCGUCCCGAGCACUCGGGGACAUGUCGAGGUGGGCGGAGGCCCGGUGGGCCGGCGCCAGACGGCGGACGGCGGCCGCGGCACACUCGCCCUCCUCGAGCUUUCCCCGGAGACGCCUCCCUUUACACGCACCCCGAGCCUGAAGGCGCUGCCACGGCGAAGAGGCACCGAUAAGGAGCAGGACGCGCCGUUCUCCCCCGGUGUUCCCAAUUCCCAGAAAUUCACGUUCCCCGUUCCCUCCCCUCGUCUCUCCCCGGGGCUCAGCUGCUGCACCGGGGGAGCUGCCCCGGGAAUUUUCCCGGGAAUCUCGGGGGUUUCCCGGGAAUUUCCCCGCCCGCCGGGGGAGGAUGAAGCUGCUGGAGAACUCGAGCUUCGAGGCCAUCAACUCCCAGCUCACCGUGGAGACCGGGGACGCCCACAUCAUCGGCAGGAUCGAGAGCUACUCGUGCAAGCUGGCUGGCAUCGACAAGCAGCUCUUCAAGCAGUUCUGCCAGGAGGGGCAGCCCCACGCGCUGGAGGCGCUGAGCCCCCCCCAGAGCUCCGGCCUGAGCCCCGGCAGGCAGGGGGAGGGCCCGCUCAGCGACACGUGCAGCCGCAAGACGCUGUUCUACCUGAUCGCCACCCUGAACGAGGCCUUCCGGCCCGACUACGACUUCAGCGCCGCCAAGAGCCACGAGUUCAGCCGCGAGCCCAGCCUCAACUGGGUGGUGAAUGCUGUGAACUGCAGCCUGUUCUCGGCCGUGCGCGAGGAUUUCAAGGCGCUGAAGCCGCUGCUGUGGGACGCGGUGGAUGAGGAGAUCUGCCUGGCCGAGUGUGACAUCUACAGCUACAACCCGGACCUGGACUCGGAUCCCUUCGGGGAGGACGGCAGCCUCUGGUCCUUCAAUUACUUCUUCUACAACAAGAGGCUGAAGAGGAUCGUCUUCUUCACCUGCCGCUCCAUCAGUGGCUAUGCCUACACCCGGCCGGACACCGGCACCGAGCUGGACAUGGACCUGGGCGAGGGGGACACCGAGAAGGGCGACAGCGGCGACCCCGAGGGCGGCGCCAUCGAGGAGGACAGGCUGCAGGUGAUGUGCAUGUGAGAUUCCUGGUGGGAUCCGAGACACCAGGAACGGAACCGGCAAAGGGAACGGAACCAGCAAUGGGACUGGAAAUGGACUGGGAACCAAACCAGCACCAGGAACGGGACUGGGAACGGAACCGGGACUGGGAACGGAACCAGGAAUGGGCCCGGGACUGGGAACGGAACCAGGAAUGGAAGUGGGAACAGAACCAGCACUGAGAAUGGAACCAGCACUGAGAACAGAACCAGGACUGGAACUGGGACUGGGAACAGAGCCAGGACCGGAACCGGGACUGGGAAUGGAACUGGACCUGGGAAUGGAACCAGACCUGGGAAAGGAACCAGGGCUGGGAAAGAAACUGGGAAUGGAACCAGGAAUGUAACCAGCACUGGGAGUGACACCAGGAAAGGAACCAGGAACGGAACCAGCGCCAGGAAUGGAACCAGGAGCAGAAGUGGCACCAGGAAAGGAACCAGGAACAGAACCAGGAAUGCAACCAGAAGCAGGAACGGAACCAGAACUGGCACCAGGAAAGGAACCAGGAACAGAACCAGGACUGGCAACCAGACCAGCAUUGGCACCGGGAAUGGAGCCAGGAACAGAACCGGGAAAGGACCUGGCCCUGUCGCAGCGCCGCUGGUCCUUCCUGAGCCGUGUCCCCCCUGUCCCGGUGUCACGGUGUCCCCGUGUCCCCCCCUGGACGCUGGAGCCCCCCAGGAAUCCCGGAGCCCCAGAAGCUUCGCUGCACUUUAUGGCUCCUGCCCUCGGCUGCACUGAUCCCCGUCCCACCUGCCCAGGCUCCUGACGGGCUCCAUCCGUCCAUGCCGGCCCUGCCCGGGGCAAAACCCCAAAUCCCACCCCAGGAACUGCCCCCCUGCCCCCCCUCCCGAGUCCGUGUGUUUCAAGAGUUUGGCUUUGCUCUGUGUCUGCUCCAGCUCUGCUUUUCCUGCUGGGAGCUCACCUGGGUGAGAUCCAGGUGAGCCCUGUGCCUGAGGCCGGCUGGGCCCAGCUGCACCUCCCUGGGAUAUGGGAUCUGGAUCAGGGGGAUCCCAUCUGCACCUCCCACCUCUCACCUGGGUGAGAUCCAGGUCCAGGGUCCAGCUGGCCACGCACAAGGAGGGGCCACUGAGCCCCCCCAAAGCCCCUCCUGCCCCCCCAGUUGGGGGCAGUUCUGUGGGGAUCCUGUUGUUGUCACCAGCAGCUCUCCCAGCCCCAUGGGAGUCAGUUUGUGCUCCCCCAAAUUCCCUGGGGGGAUUGUCCCAGUUCCUUCAUUCCCCCUAAACUCCCCCUGGAAAUUUGGAAUUCUACACAUUUGCAGUGUCCUGCCAAUAAAAGAUUUCUGGGAUUUUCCUGGGGGGUUUCCCUGGGAUGUCGCUGUUACCAC